UUCUUUAAGAGUUUGAUCCUAGCUCAGGAUGAACGCUGGCGGCGUGGAUAAGGCAUGCAAGUCGAGGGGGCACUCCACACAGAAUGCGAUCAAUACAUGAUCGUCGAUUGUGUGGAGUGUCACCGGCAAACGAGGUAGUAACACGUAGGAACGAACCGAGAAGUCAGGAAUAACCCAUCGAAAGAUGGACUAAUACUUGAUAGUCCCGAAAGGGUAAAGAUUUAUCGCUUUUUGGUCGGCCUGCGGAAUAUCAGCUAGUUGGCGGUGUAAUAGACCACCAAGGCUAUGACGUUUAGGGGAGGUGAGAGCCUGACCCCCACCGAUGGGACUGCGACACGGCCCAUACACCUACGGGUGG
Non-coding RNA from Candidatus Lloydbacteria bacterium, 358 nucleotides. NCBI's taxonomy places the organism in Bacteria, Candidatus Lloydiibacteriota. The record is from Rfam.